This 75-nucleotide transfer RNA is filed under the name Thermodesulfobium narugense DSM 14796. RNAcentral's name for it is "tRNA-Pro (CGG) (tRNA-Pro-CGG-1-1)". It matches the Rfam family "tRNA". From Rfam's summary of the family: Transfer RNA (tRNA) molecules are approximately 80 nucleotides in length. Their secondary structure includes four short double-helical elements and three loops (D, anti-codon, and T loops). The record is from RNAcentral. Lineage: Bacteria; Pseudomonadati; Thermodesulfobiota; Thermodesulfobiia; Thermodesulfobiales; Thermodesulfobiaceae.
CGGGGCGUAGCGCAGAGGGAGCGCGCCUGCUUCGGGAGUAGGAGGUCGGAGGUUCAAAUCCUCUCGCCCCGACCA